Molecule: ribosomal RNA, 465 nt
Filed under: uncultured Klebsiella sp.
Lineage: Bacteria; Pseudomonadati; Pseudomonadota; Gammaproteobacteria; Enterobacterales; Enterobacteriaceae
Description: bacterial SSU rRNA
Rfam family: Bacterial small subunit ribosomal RNA
Source: RNAcentral
CCUACGGGCGGCUGCAGUGGGGAAUAUUGCACAAUGGGCGCAAGCCUGAUGCAGCCAUGCCGCGUGUGUGAAGAAGGCCUUCGGGUUGUAAAGCACUUUCAGCGGGGAGGAAGGCGGUGAGGUUAAUAACCUCAUCGAUUGACGUUACCCGCAAAAGAAGCACCGGCUAACUCCGUGCCAGCAGCCGCGGUAAUACGGAGGGUGCAAGCGUUAAUCGGAAUUACUGGGCGUAAAGCGCACGCAGGCGGUCUGUCAAGUCGGAUGUGAAAUCCCCGGGCUCAACCUGGGAACUGCAUUCGAAACUGGCAGGCUAGAGUCUUGUAGAGGGGGGUAGAAUUCCAGGUGUAGCGGUGAAAUGCGUAGAGAUCUGGAGGAAUACCGGUGGCGAAGGCGGCCCCCUGGAUAAAGACUGACGCUCAGGUGCGAAAGCGUGGGGAGCAAACAGGAUUAGAUACCCGAGUAGUC